Molecule: long non-coding RNA, 839 nt
Organism: Contarinia nasturtii (swede midge)
Lineage: Eukaryota; Metazoa; Arthropoda; Insecta; Diptera; Cecidomyiidae
Exons: 3
Source: RefSeq, a predicted model, not a curated record
CUAAAAAUUCUGAUAGUAAAAGUGUGGCUUUCAAAAAAUUGAAUGUAUAAAUAGAGUUCCAAGAAAAGUGUUAAAGUUCACAUGAUAUCGUGCAUAAAUUAUAGUGGAGUUUAUGAUGUGGUCUGAGUAAUUUUGAACUCUCAAAUGGAACGAAUCGAAAGACCAUUUUAUGAUGAAUAAAAAAGAAUGCAACUGAAAGGUCUCUCCAUUAACGAGCUCAUCUCGAAGCAAUCUACAUAUUGACGGGAUUAUGCACGCGAUAAAAAUGUGUUUAUUUUUUUCUAGAUUUACUAUUAACCCUUUUAUGGUGCAAUAGGUCUUUUUAGGUUAAACAUCGGCAGCAAAAAAUAAAACAAUGAAAGGAAGACAAACGAAAUCAGUGAUUCGAAUUUCCCUUGGGGCAUUGCUGACUUCUAAUGGCAUUGCUGUGGAUUUUGGGUCAUAUAUGUAAUUUUAUUUCAAUGACAUAUAAUAAUCGGAAGUUCAACGUAUCCACUGACAUUUUCAACACUUGCAAUUAGAAUAAACAGCUUGAAAUGGCUAUGAUUUAAAUAUAUAUUACUUAUACAUGUCAGUAUGCGAUCGAUGAUAAAAUGACGACAAAUUAAGUACAUUUUUUUAUAUUCCAAGUGAGGCUGCGCUAAGUGCAAGAAUUGUCGCUCAUGGCUUUGCAUCGAUAACAUUUGAAAUAUACGUUUUGUGUGAUUUUGAAAGUAAUGCCCGUUCUUGGAGCAAAAAAAAAAUAUCAUGAUAAAUGAUAAAACAGUCAUGAAUUAUAAUACCCGGCAACACUAUAAUUGCAACAACAGACACAAAAAUACAAUAAAACGAAGUCGGUG